Molecule: ribosomal RNA, 404 nt
Filed under: uncultured bacterium
Lineage: Bacteria
Description: bacterial SSU rRNA
Rfam family: Bacterial small subunit ribosomal RNA
Source: RNAcentral
UCGGGAAUAUUGGACAAUGGGCGCAAGCCUGAUCCAGCUACGCCAAGUGAGUGAUGAAGGCCUCCGGGUUGUAAAGCUCUGUCGUAAGGGAAGAUAAUGACGGUACCUUACAAGAAAGCACCGGCUAACUCCGUGCCAGCAGCCGCGGUAAUACGGAGGGUGCAAGCGUUACUCGGAAUUACUGGGCGUAAAGCGAGCGCAGGCGGCUUAUUAAGUCGGGUGUGAAAGCCCGGGGCUCAACCCCGGAACUGCACCCGAAACUGGUAGGCUUGAGGAUGAGAGAGGAAAGUAGAAUUUCUGGUGUAGAGGUGAAAUUCGUUGAUAUCAGAAGGAAUACCCGUGGCGAAGGCGGCUUUCUGGCUCAUUUCUGACGCUGAGGCUCGAAAGUGUGGGUAGCAAACAGG